This 394-nucleotide ribosomal RNA is filed under the name uncultured bacterium. RNAcentral describes it as "bacterial SSU rRNA". It matches the Rfam family "Bacterial small subunit ribosomal RNA", at positions 28 to 420 of the family's 1533-position model. The record is from RNAcentral.
GAUGAACGCUAGCGGCAGGCCUAAUACAUGCAAGUCGAGGGGCAGCACGGUAGCAAUACUGGUGGCGACCGGCAAACGGGUGCGGAACACGUACGCAACCUUCCUUUAAGAGAUGAAUAGCCCGAAGAAAUUCGGAUUAAUGCAUCGUAAGAUUGUGGGAUGGCAUCAUCCAGCAAUUAAAGAUUUAUUUCGCUUAAAGAUGGGCGUGCGCCUGAUUAGGAGUUGGUGAGGUAACGGCUCACCAAGCCGACGAUCAGUAACUGGCGUGAGAGCGCGACCAGUCACACGGGCACUGAGACACGGGCCCGACUCCUACGGGAGGCAGCAGUAAGGAAUAUUGGUCAAUGGACGCAAGUCUGAACCAGCCAUGCCGCGUGAAGGAUGAAAGCCCUCU